AGAGGUUGAUCCNGGCUCGAGGACGAACGCUGGCGGCGUGCUUAACACAUGCAAGUCGAACGGAACCUUCGGGUUUAGUGGCGAACGGGUGAGUAAAGCGCAGGUAAUCUGCCGCAAAGUCGGGGACAACGUUCCGAAAGGGACGCUAAUACCGGAUGUUGUGCGGAGUUCGCAUGGAUUCCGCAUUAAAGAUUUAUCGCUUUGCGAGGAGCCUGCGUCCGAUUAGGCAGUUGGUGAGAUAAAGCCACAAACCGACGAUCGGUAGCCGGUCUGAGAGGAUGAACGGCCACAAUGGAACUGAGACACGGUCCAUACUCCUACGGGAGGCAGCAGUGGGGAAUAUUCCACAAUGGGCGAAAGCCUGAUGGAGCGACGCCGCGUGAGUGAAGAAGGGCUUCGGCUCGUAAAGCUCUUUUCCUAAGGACGAAUGGUCUGUUAGAUAGACAGGGACGGUACUUGGGGAAUAAGCCACGGCUAACUACGUGCC
This 487-nucleotide ribosomal RNA is filed under the name uncultured organism. Its description in RNAcentral is "SSU rRNA". It matches the Rfam family "Bacterial small subunit ribosomal RNA", at positions 8 to 509 of the family's 1533-position model. The record is from RNAcentral.